CAAUAUAAGUGAUGGCGACCGGCGCACGGGUGAGUAACACGUAUCCAACCUGCCGAUAACUCGGGGAUAGCCUUUCGAAAGAAAGAUUAAUACCCGAUGGUAUAAUAAAACCGCAUGGUUUAAUUAUUAAAGAAUUUCGGUUAUCGAUGGGGAUGCGUUCCAUUAGGCAGUUGGUGAGGUAACGGCUCACCAAACCUUCGAUGGAUAGGGGUUCUGAGAGGAAGGUCCCCACAUUGGAACUGAGACACGGUCCAA
This 255-nucleotide ribosomal RNA is filed under the name uncultured bacterium. Its description in RNAcentral is "partial 16S ribosomal RNA". It matches the Rfam family "Bacterial small subunit ribosomal RNA", at positions 74 to 334 of the family's 1533-position model. The record is from RNAcentral.